RNAcentral lists this ribosomal RNA (253 nucleotides) under uncultured bacterium. RNAcentral's name for it is "partial 16S ribosomal RNA". It matches the Rfam family "Bacterial small subunit ribosomal RNA", at positions 524 to 776 of the family's 1533-position model. The record is from RNAcentral.
UACGUAGGGUGCGAGCGUUAAUCGGAAUUACUGGGCGUAAAGCGUGCGCAGGCGGUUAUGUAAGACAGAGGUGAAAUUCCCGGGCUUAACCUAGGAACUGCAUUUGUUACUGCAUGACUAGAGUACGGCAGAGGGGGGUGGAAUUCCGCGUGUAGCAGUGAAAUGCGUAGAUAUGCGGAGGAAAACCGAUGGCGAAGGCAAUCCCCUGGGCCUGUACUGACGCUCAUGCUCGAAAGCGUGGGGAGCAAACAGG